UACCCCGUAGUGUAAUGGUAACACUACUGAUUUUGAUUCAGUCAUUCAAGGUUCGAGUCCUUGCGGGGUAGCCA
Molecule: transfer RNA, 74 nt
Filed under: Verrucomicrobiaceae bacterium
Lineage: Bacteria; Pseudomonadati; Verrucomicrobiota; Verrucomicrobiia; Verrucomicrobiales; Verrucomicrobiaceae
Also listed under: 1 other name
Description: tRNA-Gln
Rfam family: tRNA
About the family: Transfer RNA (tRNA) molecules are approximately 80 nucleotides in length. Their secondary structure includes four short double-helical elements and three loops (D, anti-codon, and T loops).
Source: RNAcentral